UGUAAAGCCUAAUAAUGUGGUGUGUCCACCAGACCUGGGAACAUUGGCUGUGUAACAAAAAUUUGAACACCACACAAAGGUUAAGUUAGCUGCUAA
Etheostoma cragini (Arkansas darter) is the source of this 96-nucleotide long non-coding RNA. RefSeq lists it as uncharacterized. NCBI's taxonomy places the organism in Eukaryota, Metazoa, Chordata, Actinopteri, Perciformes, Percidae. The transcript is spliced from 3 exons. The record is from RefSeq and is a predicted model, not a curated record.